Ostrea edulis (European flat oyster) is the source of this 1266-nucleotide long non-coding RNA. RefSeq lists it as uncharacterized. Lineage: Eukaryota; Metazoa; Mollusca; Bivalvia; Ostreida; Ostreidae. The record is from RefSeq and is a predicted model, not a curated record. The transcript has 2 exons.
AAAUUUUGUUUUAUGUUUCAUAAGGUAUAAUUGUGACUUUAAUAUUUGAAAUCUGUUAUUAUGAUAAUUUACAAUCAGGCCUUCGAUAAUUUAUAAUCAUGGUAUUGAUAAUGAGGAUUUAUAUCAAUGAUCUGAUAACUUUUCAUCAUGACUUUGAUAAUGUACAAUAAUGGCUUUGAUAAUUUAAAAUCAUAACUGAUAACUUGAAUUGUUGGUUUAUAAUCAUUACUUUGAUAUUUCGCAAUCAUGAUUUUCAUAAUCAUAUUAAUGAAUGAUAAUUCACAAUCAUAACUUCGAUAAUUUAAAUAAUUUACAAUCAUGCGCAUACAAAAUAUACCUGUAUAGAAAUCUCUUUGUGGAUUUUAUUUUCAUGCAUCAAAUCGUUUCUUUUGAUAAGUCCUUAGUGUUCAAUUUAAUUAUCAUGUAUCGAGAGAUCAAAGGAGAGCAGUAUCAAGAGUUCGAACAUGUCAUAUUGAAACAAUAACGUUAGCAUUAAAUUUAAAGGGACACCAUGGCUGAGGUUUUACAGUUAUUUUCACGAGGAACAUACAGAAUUUAUAAGAAUGCUGAAGUAAAUCAAUUCUCCUCUGUGACAGACUGACAGGAGGGGUAAAACAUCCCGUGAAAGAGGGGGAGGGGCAGAUAUGAUGUGACACUUUUUAAGUCCAAAAGGUGAGGCUCUCCACGCUAUGGCAGGGUUAUAUUUACACAUUGACGGUAAUGCAAUCCAAUAUGUUACUGGUUACCCAAACAAGAUUAACAAACCAUUCUAUUUGAUCAAAAAUUUUAGUUACAUCGAUGUCUUGUGAACGCUUUGUCAUACACACAGGUGCUCGUAUUUGAUCAAGAGCAAAUCCGAACAGACGGGGUAAUUUAACAACCAUGUCCAGUGUGAACUCCUGUUUGAAAAUCAUUUCGUGGUCAUCGCAGCUAUUCUGAAGCAGUUUAAUCCCAUUUCAGUUGAAGAGAAGACUCUGGUUAAUUCUAUUGUCCGUUGGACGAGGCUUAAGCAUGAACCAUCUAACUGCAAUGGUGAAAUGUUUAAACAACAUCAUCAAAAGAAUACUCACUAACACUUGAGCCGUGUCGACAAACACAGAGCAGACCCUGCUUAUGGGCGCUUGUAGAGAUCACCAAAGAAGACGAAGAGGAGGAUAAGUGUUAAUAUCCUCAAUUUACAUGUGUUCCUGUCCAUGUCAAUUAUCAAUAUACAACAUGUCUGGAAUUUCUGUUCCGUGUGAGUUAUAUUAAACAAAGUCAAAAAUA